GCCUAAAUAGCUCAGUUGGUUAGAGCACCUGACUGUUAAUCAGGGGGUCCUAGGUUCGAGUCCUAGUUUGGGCGCCA
This 77-nucleotide transfer RNA is filed under the name Acholeplasma sp. RNAcentral's name for it is "tRNA-Asn". It matches the Rfam family "tRNA". Rfam says of the family: Transfer RNA (tRNA) molecules are approximately 80 nucleotides in length. Their secondary structure includes four short double-helical elements and three loops (D, anti-codon, and T loops). The record is from RNAcentral. RNAcentral also lists the same sequence under 4 other names. Lineage: Bacteria; Bacillati; Mycoplasmatota; Mollicutes; Acholeplasmatales; Acholeplasmataceae.